Aspergillus nanangensis is the source of this 90-nucleotide non-coding RNA. Lineage: Eukaryota; Fungi; Ascomycota; Eurotiomycetes; Eurotiales; Aspergillaceae. The record is from the annotation of a GenBank genome assembly.
AGUUGCGUGGUCUAAUGGUCAUGACGUCUGAUUCACAGCGAAUCUAUAGAUAUCCUCAGAAGGUUCCCGGUUCGAUCCCGGGCGCGACUA